This 754-nucleotide ribosomal RNA is filed under the name uncultured methanogenic archaeon. RNAcentral's name for it is "bacterial SSU rRNA". It matches the Rfam family "Archaeal small subunit ribosomal RNA", at positions 88 to 839 of the family's 1478-position model. The record is from RNAcentral. Lineage: Archaea; Methanobacteriati; Methanobacteriota.
GCUCAGUAACACGUGGAUAACCUGCGCCUACAUGGAUGGGGAUCGACCCCGGGAAAACCGGGGAUAAUACCCUAUAGACUACAGAUGCUGGAAUGCUCUGUAAUCGAAAGUUCCGACGCCUUAGGAGGAUCUGCGGCCGAUUAGGUUGUUGUCGGGGUAAUGGCCCAACAAGCCAGUGAUCGGUACGGGUUGUGGGAGCAAGAGCCCGGAGUUGGAUUCUGAGACACGAAUCCAGGCCCUACGGGGCGCAGCAGGCGCGAAAACUUUACAAUGCGGGAAACCGUGAUAAGGGAACACCGAGUGCCAGCAUCAUAUGCUGGCUGUCCAGAUGUGUAAACUACAUCUGUUAGCAAGGGCCGGGCAAGACCGGUGCCAGCCGCCGCGGUAACACCGGCGGCCCGAGUGGUGACCGUUAUUAUUGGGUCUAAAGGGUCCGUAGCCGGUUUGGUCAGUCCUCCGGGAAAUCUGAUAGCUUAACUGUUAGGCUUUCGGGGGAUACUGCCAGGCUUGGAACCGGGAGAGGUAAGAGGUACUACAGGGGGUAGGAGUGAAAUCUUGUAAUCCCUGUGAGACCACCUGUGGCGAAGGCGUCUUACCAGAACGGGUUCGACGGUGAGGGACGAAAGCUGGGGGCACGAACCGGAUUAGAUACCCGGGUAGUCCCAGCCGUAAACUAUGCUCGCUAGGUGUCAGGCAUGGCGCGACCGUGUCUGGUGCCGCAGGGAAGCCGUGAAGCGAGCCCCUGGGAAGUACG